Molecule: long non-coding RNA, 1156 nt
Filed under: Salmo salar (Atlantic salmon)
Lineage: Eukaryota; Metazoa; Chordata; Actinopteri; Salmoniformes; Salmonidae
Description: lncRNA (ENSSSAG00000097195.1, ENSSSAG00000121183.1)
Source: RNAcentral
UUCAUUUCUCAACACCUACGGCUUCCACUAGAUGUCAACGAUCUUUAUAAAGUUGUUUGAAGCGUCUAUGAUAAACAGAGAGCAAAUUAGAAUCCAAGGAAGUUGACAUGUCAUCACUUCAUUUUUUUGGGCCUGCGCAUAAAUCUGAGAAACGUGAGUUUGUCAUCAUUUUUUAUCUAGACAUAGGAUAGGUUGUGUGAAAAUAUUACUGAUGUUUAACGUUAAAAAUGGAACAAAAGAUUAAUGCUAAACAACAUUUGACAUGUUUGAACGAACAUAAAUAGAUUAUUUACUAGGUUUUUUUAGCUUUUCGGCGUGAUUUUACCAGCCCCCCAACCACGUUUUGUGGGAGCAUAAUGAACGCUAAGUACUUGGUGUUAUUUGGACAUAAAUGAUGAACUUUGUCAAAAGAAACCACAUUUGUUCCGGACCUGGAAUGCCUUCCGGACCUGGGAUCCUGCCUUCUGAUGGAGAUAAUCAAAGGACCAUGCCUUGGGACUACCUGGCUUGAUGACUCCUUGCUGUCCCCAGUUCACCUGGCCGUGCUGCUGCUCCAGUUCCAACUGUUCUGCCUGCAGCUAUGGAACCCUGACCUGUUCGCCGGACGUGCUACCUGUCCCAGACCUGCUGUCCCAGACCUGCUGGAACCCUGACCUAUUCAACGGAUGUGCUACCUGUCCCAGACCUGCUGUUUUCAACUCUCUAGAGACAGCAGGAGCGGUAGAGAUACUCUCAAAGAUCGGCUAUGAAAAAGCCAACUGACACUUACUCUUGUGUUACUGACUUGUUGCACCCUCGACAACUACUAUGAUUAUUAUUAUUUGACCAUGCUGGUCAUUUAUGAACAUUUGAACAUCUAGGCCAUGUGCUGUUAUAAUCUCCACCCGGCACAGCCAGAAGAGGACUGGCCACCCCUCAUAGCCUGGUUCCUCUCUAAGUUUGUUCCUGAUGACGCCAGUCAACAGUCGUCAUCAGAGCUGCCCGCCAGUCAACAGUCGCCAUCAGAGCUGCCCGCCAGUCAACAGUCGUCAUCAGAGCUGCCCGCCAGUCAACAGUCGUCAGAGCUGCCCGCCAGUCACCAGUCGUCAGAGCUGCCCGCCAGUCAACAGUCGUCAGAGCUGCCCGCCAGUCAACAGUCGUCAGAGCUGCCCGCCAG